GAAUGAUUUGUCUGGUUAAUUCCGAUAACGAACGUGACUCAAUCAUAUUAAAUAGAUACCUAUCAGCAGUUGAGAUGCCGAAGCUGUGGCAUUGGUAGCAAUAUUGGUGUCAUAGUGGAGUCUCACCUGAUAGUUUGUCAUUCAUCUCUCGUGGGUGUUUGACUUGAAUCUGCUUAAUAGGACAAUUUGUGUUUAGCAAAAUGAGAUUGAGCAAUAACAGGUCCGUGAUGCCCUUAGAUGUCCUGGGCUGCACGCGCGCUACAAUGAAGACAUCAACGUGUAUCCUAUACCGAAAGGUACGGGAAAUCACUAAAACGUCUUCUUAGUUGGGAUUAUGGACUGAAACUGUUCAUAUGAACCUGGAAUUCCCAGUAAAUG
RNAcentral lists this ribosomal RNA (378 nucleotides) under Culicoides nanus. RNAcentral's name for it is "SSU rRNA". It matches the Rfam family "Eukaryotic small subunit ribosomal RNA", at positions 1304 to 1623 of the family's 1831-position model. Lineage: Eukaryota; Metazoa; Arthropoda; Insecta; Diptera; Ceratopogonidae. The record is from RNAcentral.